AUGAACGCUGGCGGCGUGCCUAAUCCAUGCAAGUCGAGCGAACAGAUGAGGAGCUUGCUCCUCUGACGUUAGCGGCGGACGGGUGAGUAACACGUGGAUAACCUACCUAUAAGACUGGGAUAACUUCGGGAAACCGGAGCUAAUACCGGAUAAUAUAUUGAACCGCAUGGUUCAAUAGUGAAAGACGGUUUUGCUGUCACUUAUAGAUGGAUCCGCGCCGCAUUAGCUAGUUGGUAAGGUAACGGCUUACCAAGGCAACGAUGCGUAGCCGACCUGAGAGGGUGAUCGGCCACACUGGAACUGAGACACGGUCCAGACUCCUACGGGAGGCAGCAGUAGGGAAUCUUCCGCAAUGGGCGAAAGCUUGACGGAGCAACGCCGCGUGAGUGAUGAAGGUCUUCGGAUCGUAAAACUCUGUUAUUAGGGAAGAACAAAUGUGUAAGUAACUAUGCACGUCUUGACGGUACCUAAUCAGAAAGCCACGGCUAACUACGUG
Molecule: ribosomal RNA, 496 nt
Filed under: uncultured bacterium
Lineage: Bacteria
Description: partial 16S ribosomal RNA
Rfam family: Bacterial small subunit ribosomal RNA
Source: RNAcentral